Long non-coding RNA from Ictalurus punctatus (channel catfish), 2039 nucleotides. Lineage: Eukaryota; Metazoa; Chordata; Actinopteri; Siluriformes; Ictaluridae. The record is from Ensembl.
GUUCACUGUCAUGCUUUAUUAUCUUCUUCUGCAUUUUUUUCUUUCCAUAAUUAAGUUCCACCUUUGACAGUUGGGAAUGUUGUUUAGAUAUACUGACAAUUCUGCACUUAAUCAUACACUGGAUACUGCUCAAAGGGAAUCUCAUCACUGCUAUCUGCUGCACCACUUACUUACACAUGAUUAUUAAAAUUUAUUGAGAUGUCCAACUCAAACAAUAAACAGUAGUACUUAGUGGUACAUAUAGAGAAGUGUCCACGUGGGACAAAUGAAGAGUGCACUGUUCAAUAAAAAUUGCGAUAUUUUUUCUAUGCAAAACCAACCCACUUUCACUCACUGACUCCUAAUGAAGCUGUGUGUCCCAGGUGAACAUAAACAUAUUUAAAGCCUGUUGUCCGAUUAACCUUAAUCUUUGAUCCUUUUAAAGCACACUUAAAUCUGCCAUAGGUUUGCAAUGAAGCUUUGGACUGUGAUAUCACAGUGAGAUAUCUGAUCAUUUGAUUUGUUAAAAUAGUGAAAUUCACCAAGACUUAAUAAUAAUAUAGACACAUUUUUACAUUUAACAUAGAAACAUUUCAUUGCUGCAUUUAAAUGAUAUUUUACAGGAGGCCGGGGUUCCCAUGUAGUUUUAAAGUAAUUGCCUGUGGAUGUUGAUACUUCUAGGCUCUGAGGUAAAAAAAAAAAAAAAGCUUGAUGCAUUGACCCAUGGUCCAAACCAUACUACAUUAUGUGCUACCCCUUUCUUGACAUGCAGAAUUGUUCAAAGUCUAAAAAAAUCUAUCUUCAUAGCUUGCAAUGAAGAGUCUGUCUAUCUGGAGCCUAUCAUGAAAGAUGUGUGGGGGCUUAAUGUUGGCUUAGUGGUUAGCACAUUUGCCUCGCACCUCUGGGGGUGGUUGGAAUCCUGCCUCCGUCCUGUGUGCGCAGAGAACAAAGCGACAAUCAAAACAACAGCAUAGCAGUUGUCCAAGAGGCUAACACAAUGGUUUCAAUGUGCUCCUUUUAAAUAGACAGCUCGGCCUCUUUUCGCCGGGUUCCUGCCUUCCUAUUGGUCAGGUCUUGUCAACCAGUUAACGGAGAUAAUGGAACACACAAACACUGACAUGUAACAGUGGUACAGUAGCUCUUCUGUGUGAUUGGACAAGACGGGCAAGCCUCUGCUCCUGACACGUAUCAAUGAGCCUUGGCGCCCAUGACCCUGUUACCAUUUCACUGGUUGUCUUUCUUGGACCACUUUUGGUAGGUACUAACCACUGCAUUCCUUGAACACCGCAUGAGACCUGCACUGCUCUGACCCAGUCGUCUAGCCAUCACAAUCUGGCCCUUGUCAAAGCUGCUCAGUUCCUUACGCUUGCCCAUUUUUGCAGCAACUUAGAGAACUGAUUGUUCACUUGCUGCCUAAUAAAUCCCGCCCCUCAACAGGAGCCACUGUAAUGAGAUAAUCCAUGUUAUUCCCUUCAGCUGUCAGUGGUUUGAAUGUUAUGGUUCAUCGGUGCAUUAUGUAUUUUAAUGGUAAUUUUAUUAUUUUUAUGUUUCACUUUAUCUAUUUUAUUUCUGUGAUAAUGCAUCUGCAUAUUUUAAAAAUAUAGUUAAUUAACUAAAGUACAGUCAAAUUAUGUUUUAGUUUAUUGACUGGUUUCUGACUUUAUAUUGUUUAACACAGUUUUGAAGUUACGGUUAGGCUAACCCUUUUUAGCAUUGUUUGUAAUUAAAUGACUAUUUUUUUUAAUUGAAAAAAUGUAAGUAUACAUUUUUAUUGGUUGUCAGGCCCACACAAUCUAUGAACUCAAUCAAACACUCACUUUAAAAGGAGACACUCACUUACAGUAUUCUUGUGAAAUAAGUUGUGAAAUUUGUGUUCAUCAUCUGACUUAACCAAACCUUCGGUUCUGAGUUUGUUGUUCUGGUUCUUCAGUCACGUGUCUUGUAUAGCCUAGUUUGUAUUGUUUGUUCAGCGCCCGACCUACGCCUGUUUAUGUGAAUUUGAUCUUGCCUUACUUUUUGGAUAUUUCUGCUUGCUCUUAUUAAAGCACUGAACUGCACUU